GAUGAACGCUGGCGGUGUGCCUAAUACAUGCAAGUCGAGCGAACAGACGAAGAGCUUACUCCUCUGACGUUAGCGGCGGACGGGUGAGUAACACGUGGAUAACCUACCUAUAAGACUGGGAUAACUUCGGGAAACCGGAGCUAAUACCGGAUAACAUGUUGAACCGCAUGGUUCAACAGUGAAAGACGGUCUUGCUGUCACUUAUAGAUGGAUCCGCGUCGCAUUAGCUAGUUGGUAAGGUAACGGCUUACCAAGGCAACGAUGCGUAGCCGACCUGAGAGGGUGAUCGGCCACACUGGAACUGAGACACGGUCCAGACUCCUACGGGAGGCAGCAGUAGGGAAUCUUCCGCAAUGGGCGAAAGCCUGACGGAGCAACGCCGCGUGAGUGAAGAAGGUCUUCGGAUCGUAAAACUCUGUUAUUAGGGAAGAACAAAUGUGUAAGUAACUAUGCACGUCUUGACGGUACCUAAUCAGAAAGCCACGGCUAACUACGUG
This 497-nucleotide ribosomal RNA is filed under the name uncultured bacterium. RNAcentral describes it as "partial 16S ribosomal RNA". It matches the Rfam family "Bacterial small subunit ribosomal RNA", at positions 28 to 507 of the family's 1533-position model. The record is from RNAcentral.